Molecule: ribosomal RNA, 776 nt
Filed under: uncultured Neocallimastigales
Lineage: Eukaryota; Fungi; Neocallimastigomycota; Neocallimastigomycetes; Neocallimastigales
Description: partial large subunit ribosomal RNA
Rfam family: Eukaryotic large subunit ribosomal RNA
Source: RNAcentral
CAGACGAUGCGUCAUGCAUAUCAAUAAGCGGAGGAAAAGAAACUAACAAGGAUUCCCUCAGUAACGGCGAGUGAAGCGGGAAGAGCUCAAAUUUGAAAUCUUGAAAGGUCACCUUUCACGAAUUGUAGUUUAAAGAAGUGUUUUCUGUUACGAUCGUAAUAUAAGUUCUUUGGAAUAGGACAUCACAGAGGGUGAGAAUCCCGUCUAUGAUUGCGAUUUGUAGCUUUGUGAUACACUUUCAAAGAGUCGGAUUGUUUGGGAAUGCAGUCCAAAAUGGGUAGGUAAAUUUCAUCUAAAGGCUAAAUAUUGGCGAGAGACCGAUAGCGAACAAGUACCGUGAGGGAAAGAUGAAAAGAACUUUGAGAAGAGAGUUAAACAGUACGUGAAAUUGUCAAAAGGGAAGCGUUUGACACCAGUGUUGUUUUCUCGAAAAUCAAUUAAAAAUGGCUCGAUUUUGUAUUGUUUGAGACCUUAAAAGCUCACUGUACAUUUUUCGUGUCUUUUUUAAUGCACUUUUCGUUUAACAAGUCAACAUCAGUUUCUUUUGUUGUAAAAGGGUCAUUGGAAGGUGGCUUUCUUUUCGGAGAAAGUGUUUAUAGCCUUUGGCCUCUGCAAUCGGAGAGACUGAGGUCUGCAGCGUAGACUCUUCGGGGUUAGAUACAUUUGUGCUAAGUUAUAGCUUUUUAUAGACAACUUGUUGACUAUAAUUAGUCUUGUAGCUUACUCGCUUAUGUUAUUUUACCUACGCUUAGGAUGUUGACUGAUAUGUAGUCGUA